This 89-nucleotide ribosomal RNA is filed under the name Peribacillus frigoritolerans. The record is from RNAcentral. Lineage: Bacteria; Bacillati; Bacillota; Bacilli; Caryophanales; Bacillaceae.
UUUGGUGGCGAUAGCGAAGAGGUCACACCCGUUCCCAUUCCGAACACGGCAGUUAAGCUCUUCAGCGCCGAUGGUAGUUGGGGGUUUUC